ACAUCUUUAUCCCUUUAUAUUAUACUGUUAUGCCUUUUAGAGGAAUAUAUUUAUGAUGGUAAAAUUGAAAAUAUAAACAAUACUUCUCUAAUAGUUCUCUAACGGUAACAAAUCAUAGAUACACCAACCGUCCCUAGAGCAAGUGACAUAGGGCUUGGUGGUUAGUACCCGAGGUCCCAAAUUCGAAUGCUAAUUGAUUCACAUUACUAGCUAAAUUUAUUUCUAAAUAAAAUAAACGAAGUGGGUAGCAUUGCUACGCAUCUCUCAAAAAAAAAAAAAAAAAAAAAGAGGUACGUAUUUAAAAACAUCGUGACUUUUGCUGGAACAAUAGAAUUGAUGAAAGUUGAAUUUCGUAGGAAUAUAUUUAUCAUUAACUAUGUUUAUAGAAAACCGUAUGAAAUUAACCCUUCAAUUUAACUAGUUAACAGUGCUGUAAUCACUAAAAAAAGCAACAAAUUAUUAGGCUAUCACAUUCACAUGUGCGUCAAUAUUCGGUCAGCUAAAUCAUUACAAUAAUUUAAAAAAAAAAAAUUAAAACAAAAACUAUGGCAAAUUAAAAUUUGAGAACCAAAGCGCAAUUCUCUGGUGAAAAUUUCAGCUUGGGAAAUUAAGAAGCGCUUGAAGAGAUUGAUGGAGAGAGAGAGAGAGAGAGAGAGAGGGAGGGAGGGUGGGAAAUUAAAGAGGAGAUUGAAGUAAUUACCACAGCUUUGGAAGCCACGGCCAUGGCCUGCGGUUUGGAGAAGCUAACCAUGUUUUGCGCUGCUGCGUUUGGGAUCGGAUCGGAGGAGAACCUGAUCUGAUCUGAGCACAAGAGCUUGGACUUGGACUCGGGAGAAAUUCCUUGAGACCAAAUUUGUGCUCUGCUUUGCUUUGCUUUGCUUGAGCCACAGUUCAAAUGGAUUUACAUCAAUUAUAUAUAGACACACGCAUAUAUUUAUUUUAUAGAGAUAUAUAUAUACACUAAUGCAACACAGGGGUGCUUUAAUAUUCGUGCGGGGGACACGUGGCGAAAGGUGGGGUGAGGUGUGACACGUGGCGGGGGGUCACGUGACGCGUGGGGGAGGAGGAAGUUGCUGGAAGGAGGGGCACGUGACGGAGAUUAGUGUCUUAAUUAAUAUUAAUAUUAAUAAUAAUAAUAAAGGUGUGGAGUUUAUUGUUAGAAUUAGGUGACGAAGCAACUGGAAGAUACUGGUGAGGCGGUUCUAGCGGCUUCGCGAAACACAUUUUUAAGCUAAAUUAUUAUUAUAAAAUAAUAAUAAAAAAAUUAACUUUAUAUCCUAUAAAUAUAAUAAAUUAUAAAUAUCUUCCUACAAAAUUUAACUUUCAUAUACAAAAUCUUAAUAUUUUCAAAUAUAUCCCUCUAAUUUAUGACCAUUAAAAUACUGUUUAUUUUACAAGUGAAAAGACUUUUUUGCCAUCACAAAUAUGCCCCUCCAAUUAUUAAUUGAAGAAAGAUAAAAAGAUCAAUUUACCUCAUUAACUAAUUAAAAUUAAAUAUUUAAUUUAUAAUUAAUUAAAAAUUUUUAACGAAUUCUAACGGUAUAAAUAUAUUUGAAACUAACAGAAACAAUAUAUAAAAGUUGAAAUUUAUAGAAAUAUAUUUAGAAUUCACUAUAUCUACAUACAAUUAACCCAAAAA
Molecule: long non-coding RNA, 1639 nt
Filed under: Ananas comosus (pineapple)
Lineage: Eukaryota; Viridiplantae; Streptophyta; Magnoliopsida; Poales; Bromeliaceae
Description: long non-coding RNA (ACOM_LNC039395)
Source: RNAcentral